This 534-nucleotide long non-coding RNA is filed under the name Vigna radiata. RNAcentral's name for it is "long non-coding RNA (VRAD_LNC012927)". Lineage: Eukaryota; Viridiplantae; Streptophyta; Magnoliopsida; Fabales; Fabaceae. The record is from RNAcentral.
UUUGUUGUUGGGGAACAAUGUAAUCUUUUGAAACUCUCAUUUAUCCCAAUUCUUAUUUAUUUCAUAUGCUUGUCAUAUACUUGUUUAUCAAUUGUUGGGUUCUCAUCUAUGCUUAAUGCUUUUAUUGUUUAACUCAUUCAGUAAAAGUGGUUUGUCUUUAUUGAUACGGGGACAUACGGUAAUCUCAUGAACUGGUGAGAAAUUCCUUGAUUAUGCUAAUACUGCCUAGGGAUAGGGGUAGGACGAUCAAUUGUAUUUUGCUUCCGUUCACAUUGCAUUAUUGGUUACUAGGGGAGGCUAAGGAUAACAAGUCGGUAAUUAAUAAUAGGCUCUUUUCACUAAGGGAUUGGGUUAAGGGUAGGCUAGAAAGUUUGCAUGGCAAUUGGAUAAAUAAGUGAAGUAAAUAAGAAGAGUACAUAUAUGAGAGUGGAUAAGAUGAAAUUGUAAACCCCAACAACACCAUUCAUCCAUAGUUUCUUAAAACCAAAUGAAUCAACUGCAUUUGCAUGUGUAUUUUUUUCUUUGCAUACAAAC